This is a long non-coding RNA of Triticum aestivum (bread wheat), 880 nucleotides long. RefSeq lists it as uncharacterized. The transcript is spliced from 2 exons. Lineage: Eukaryota; Viridiplantae; Streptophyta; Magnoliopsida; Poales; Poaceae. The record is from RefSeq and is a predicted model, not a curated record.
GAGGAUGAGAUUGUUUGUAGCUAUUUUUAAUGGUAUCCUUUGCUAUGUUAGGUGGCUUGCUUGAUUUAAAUAUGCUAUGGAGGAUUACAUGGAUAAUACUCUGCUUAAUUUCUUUAUUUUGCUUCCCUUCUUGGCGGUCUUCUAAUACAGGAUGCAUGUUUGAAAAAAAGACUCACAAAAUUGAUAUGAAGAAACAACAACCAGAACUUGCUUCAGUAAUUUAUUCUCCACCAGUGUGUCCUGAAUCAUUUGUACAUUACUAAAUUCUAUGCUUAUUUGUUAGCAGCAAAAUGACUAAUUCAGUUCUGGUACAAUCUUAAUACUUGCAGGAAAACCGAUCUUCAUUAGUCAUAAGUAGAGAUAAGAAGACUGUUAAGUUUAUGGCAAAGUCAUGUCAUUAUUAAGUCUUUAUUCUUAUUGGAUCAGCUUAGUAAAAAUGAUUUCAGUUGUUGCCCUAAAUUCGAUAAAGGUAGUAAUGUGUUGUAGAUACCACCACUUGCAUGAACAACCAGAAUGGCAAUAAUAAGUGCUAUUUAUUCAUGUCAGCUUACUUUAAAUAAAUAUGUCUUUCAUGGAACAGUAUGUGUGUGAUGGAUCUUUUCAAGUUCGAUUCAUGUUCAAUUAGGUGCAUAUUUCGUGAGAAAAUCCCGACGUCCAGCUCUUCAAGGAGAGGAGCCUGCCACCACCGACGCUGACGUUGCCAUGGGUGCCCAUCCUUGCUGUCCGAUGGAACCACUCAGACGGUCAUACCGCGGUCGUCGUCAGAAUCAUCCGAGUUGAUUUAACCAAUUUUUGAAUCCUCUCUGAAUAAGCAGGAAGUUGUAUUUGGAAGCUUUCUUGGACUUAUAUCGUAAUCAUGGUAUAUGGCUUGAUUGUUUCA